Molecule: unclassified non-coding RNA, 224 nt
Filed under: uncultured fungus
Lineage: Eukaryota; Fungi
Description: sequence contains ITS1, 5.8S rRNA gene
Rfam family: 5.8S ribosomal RNA (bases 176-224)
Source: RNAcentral
UCUCCGUAGGUGAACCUGCGGAGGGAUCAUUACUGAGUGAGGGCUUCGGUCCGACCUCCAACCCUUUGUGAACCAAACUUGUUGCUUCGGGGGCGACCCUGCCGUCCGCGGCUGAGCGCCCCCGGAGGCCUUCAAACACUGCAUCUUUGCGUCGGAGUUUAAGUAAAUUAAACAAAACUUUCAACAACGGAUCUCUUGGUUCUGGCAUCGAUGAAGAACGCAGC